AAAUUUAAAGAAUUUGGCGGUGUUUUAGUCUGGUUAGAGGAACCUGUUUUAUAAACGAUACAACACGCAUUAUUUUACUUACUCUGGUAGAUCAGUUUGUAUACCGUCAUUAUAAGAUAAUUUAAGAGAGAAUAUUAUUGAAAUCAUAUUAUUGAGUAUAUUAGAUCAAGGUGCAGCUUAUGAGUAAGUAAACAUGGGUUACAAUAAAAUUUAUUUAAUAUGGAUUAAGUGUUUAAAUGUGCUUAUGAAGGAGGAUUUAAUUGUAAGAAGGGAGUAGUGAGCUUUUCUGAUAAAAGCUCUAAAUUAU
Molecule: ribosomal RNA, 307 nt
Filed under: Cambarus deweesae
Lineage: Eukaryota; Metazoa; Arthropoda; Malacostraca; Decapoda; Cambaridae
Description: partial 12S ribosomal RNA
Source: RNAcentral